CCUACGGGGGGCAGCAGUGAGGAAUAUUGGUCAAUGGCCGAGAGGCUGAACCAGCCAAGUCGCGUGAGGGAAGACGGCCCUACGGGUUGUAAACCUCUUUUGUCGGGGAGCAAAGCGAGUCACGUGUGACUCAUUGAGAGUACCCGAAGAAAAAGCAUCGGCUAACUCCGUGCCAGCAGCCGCGGUAAUACGGAGGAGGCGAGCGUUAUCCGGAUUUAUUGGGGUUAUAGAGUGCGCAGGCGGAGGUGCAAGUCAGCGGUAAAAUUGCGGGGCCCAACCCCGCACUGCCGUUGAAACUGCAGCCCUUGAGUGCGCGAGAAGUAUGCGGAAUGCGUGGUGUAGCGGUGAAAUGCAUAGAUAUCACGAAGAACUCCGAUUGCGAAGGCAGCAUACCGGAGCGCAACUGACGCUCAUGCACGAAAGCGUGGGUAUCGAACAGGAUUAGAUACCCCAGUAGUC
This 459-nucleotide ribosomal RNA is filed under the name uncultured bacterium. RNAcentral describes it as "partial 16S ribosomal RNA". It matches the Rfam family "Bacterial small subunit ribosomal RNA", at positions 338 to 795 of the family's 1533-position model. The record is from RNAcentral.